AGAAUUCUCAAAAUCCCAAAAUCCAGAGAACAGCACAGGAACCAGCAAAGUCCUCCGCCAUGGCCAACAUGAUCAUGGCUUCCUCCAAAGUCCCCAUCUCCUCCUCCCCUUCUACCCCAAACCCAAAACCCAGAAUCCCACUCCAAAUCUCCAUCCCCAAAAUGCCAGCAAACCUCCCAAAGCUCACAAAGCCCCAAUUGGUAUCCCUAUCCUCCUCCCUCUCCGCCAUCGCCGCCGCCUCGCUCGCAUUGGCGCCACCUUCCCUGGCGGAGGAAUUCGAGAAGGCGGCCCUGUUCGACUUCGACCUGACCCUCCCCAUCCAGAUGGUGCAGUUCCUGCUGCUUAUGGUGGCGCUGGACAAGCUCUACUACAGCCCACUGGGGAACUUCAUGGACGAGAGGGACGCGGCCAUCAGGGAGAAGCUGGGGAGCGUGAAGGACACGUCGGAGGAGGUGAAGCAGCUUGAGGAGCAAGGCAUCGCCAUCAUGAGGGCGGCGAGGGCGGAGAUAUCGGCGGCGCUGACGAAGAUGAAGAAGGAGACGCAGGGGGAGGUGGAGCAGAAGUUGGCGGAGGGGAGGAAAAAGGUGGAGGCGGAGCUGCAGGAGGCGUUGGCGAAGUUGGAGGAGCAGAAGGAGGAGACCAUGAAGGCGCUUGACUCACAGAUUGCCAAUCUCAGUGACCAGAUUGUAAAGAAGGUCCUUCCUCUCUGAGUUUCUUGGGUUUGUUUUUCGCGUAAGGUGUGAAUUGGAAUGGGGGCAAAUGGGAAAUCGGAUUGCUGUGUCUAUGAUUAUAUAAUUGUAAUAAUAAUAUUUGUAUGUUAAUUGAAUGAAAUUACUGUGUUUUUUCUUGUUCUGGUUUAAUAUUUUGUGGAUGUGUAAUUUGAAUAACCGAGGGAAGAAAGGAUUCAUGGGAUUUGUACAGUGUUGGAGAGGAUUUUCGGUGGCCGUGAACCCGAUUCAUGUAAGUAGAUCGGGUUGGAUGUGUUAGGUGAGCAGAAUAGAGCGGUGAGUGAUAGAACUGUCAGCUGUGUGUUCGAAUCAAAGAGAAAUUCUAGAGAAUGUUUUGCUACCUGAAAUUUUUUUUAUCGGGCGGAUUCCUCCUUUUGCUCCUCAGCCUGCCGGAUAUUAGUAGCCUGUUGUUUCCCUCCCAAGGGCAUGUUCUUACACGUUACUCACCCGUCAGCUCUACUCCUUGCACCUUUCCCAUUGUCCAUUUCAAGAAAGGGGUGUGCUAUCUACACACCCUAAAUUAUUUAUCACACAUCAUUUGUUAAUUUCUAUCCGUUGAUCUUCUUCAAUUCAUUCCGAUAUGACGGUCGAAAAUUAGAAAGAUAUGUAAGAAGUAAAAUGGGCUUUCAAGAAAUUAGUGGUAGUUUUGUUUACCUAUACGCUAAUUGAAAUUGUUUCAAAGUGAUUUUUUAUGAUGCUCUAGAAGACCGGGCACUUAGGGCAUUUUAUCAUUAAACCAUUGAUAAAAACAAAAAUUUAAGAAUCUAAGAGUCUGUUUGUUAUUCUACUUAAAUUCAACUUUUUAAACU
Molecule: long non-coding RNA, 1537 nt
Filed under: Malus domestica (apple)
Lineage: Eukaryota; Viridiplantae; Streptophyta; Magnoliopsida; Rosales; Rosaceae
Description: long non-coding RNA (MDOM_LNC014552)
Source: RNAcentral